GCCAGCAGAAAUUUUGAAAUUACAUGUGGGACUCGUUUCAAUUGGACAUCGCUGGUCUAGCCUAAAGAUGGUGUCCAAUAGGUACCAUUUCAGUUGAUGUGAUUAGCCAGGGUUGGUGCAGGGGAAUCACACCAGGUGUAAUGGGCUAUCAGACCACAAGGGGGAGCUCACACCCGAGUGCAAGGCCUCUCCCCGACCUGAGUCUCACCCAUGACUUCCUGCUGCUCUCGCCUACCCAGAAGGAGCCACUUAAAAAUCGUAGCUACUGCCGCGGACACCAUACUUUGAGGGGAGAGGCAGAGAGGGAAACACAGAAUCCAAAGCAGGCUCCAGGCUCUGAGCUGUCAGCCCAGAGCCCUACAUAGGGCUCGAAUCCACCAACCGUGAGAUCAUGACCUGAGAUGAAGUCUGAAGCCUGAUGGAGCCACCCAGGUGCCCCAACCACAGUGUUGUUGCGUAUGAUGGGACUGUCAAAGGCAACCUGGUGGCCAUCACCGAGGACGUGGCCCUGGAGUGUGCAGCGUGGAGGCUUCUGCAGCCACAGGAAGCAAUGGACUAGGCUGUGCAGGAAGCACCGAGAACGGACCCAAGUGAAAAUAGUAAGGAGCAGAGCCAGAACUACCACCCAAUACUGUUGAUAUAAAUGAAAGAUUCAUACAUCCCUCCAAGAAUGUGCAGGGUGGAAGAACACCUAUAAACAAAAGGAUUCACAUGAACAGGACAGAAUGGGAGCUCUGGCAGGGAAGGAAAAGACUGUGGGUGGGAGUGCAGAGCGGAGUUAACUAAGAAAUAGAUAAAACUUGAGGCGCCUGGGUGGCUCAGUCGGUUAAGUGUUCGACUCUUGAUUUCGGCUCUGGUCACGACCUCACGGAUCGCGGGUUUGAGACCCGCGUCGGGCUCUGCACUGACAGUGCGGAGCCGGCUCGGGAUUCUGUCUCCCUCUCUCUCUGCCCUUCCCCGCUUGCUCGCGUGCUCUUUCUCUGAAAACAAGUAAAUAAAAAAAUAAAAAAAUACA
Molecule: long non-coding RNA, 1015 nt
Filed under: Felis catus (domestic cat)
Lineage: Eukaryota; Metazoa; Chordata; Mammalia; Carnivora; Felidae
Description: lncRNA (ENSFCAG00000050937.1)
Source: RNAcentral